RNAcentral lists this ribosomal RNA (465 nucleotides) under uncultured bacterium. Its description in RNAcentral is "partial 16S ribosomal RNA". It matches the Rfam family "Bacterial small subunit ribosomal RNA", at positions 28 to 507 of the family's 1533-position model. The record is from RNAcentral.
GACGAACGCUGGCGGCGUGCUUAACACAUGCAAGUCGAACGGAAAGGCCCCUUUGGGGGUACUCGAGUGGCGAACGGGUGAGUAACACGUGAGUAACCUUCCCUUGACUUCGGGAUAACUUCAGGAAACUGGGGCUAAUACCGGAUAGGAAUCCUUGCUUCAUGGUGGGGGUUGUAAAGCUUCGGCGGUUUUGGAUGGACUCGCGGCUUAUCAGCUCGUUGGUGGGGUAGUGGCUUACCAAGGCUUUUACGGGUAGCCGGCCUGAGAGGGCGACCGGCGACAUUGGGACUGAGAUACGGCCCAGACUCCUACGGGAGGCAGAAGUGGGGAAUAUUGCACAAUGGGCGGAAGCCUGAUGCAGCAACGCCGCGUGCGGGAUGACGGCCUUCGGGUUGUAAACCGCUUUCAGCAGGGGCGAAGCUUGUGGUGACGGUACCUGCAGAAGAAGCACCGGCUAACUACGUG